UCAGGACGAACGCUGGCGGCGUGCUUAACACAUGCAAGUCGGACGGUCCGCAUAUUGAAAGCUUGCUGGAUAUGUGCGGAUAGUGGCGGACGGGUGAGUAACGCGUGAAGGACCUGCCCUGGGGAGGGGGAUACCGUCUGGAAACGGACGUUAAUACCCCGUAAGCCGGGAGGUGAAAGGCUCAUAAAUGGGCUGCCCUGGGGGGGAUUCGCGUCCUAUCAGCUAGUUGGUGGGGUAACGGCUCACCAAGGCGAAGACGGGUAGCCGGUCUGAGAGGAUGGACGGCCACACUGGAACUGAGACACGGUCCAGACUCCUACGGGAGGCAGCAGUGGGGAAUAUUGGGCAAUGGGCGAAAGCCUGACCCAGCGACGCCGCGUGAGGGAAGAAGGCCUUUGGGUUGUAAACCUCUGUUGUACGGGAAGAAGGAAGUGACGGUACCGUACGAGCAAGCCCCGGCAAACUACGUGCCAGCAGCCGCGGUAACACGUAGGGGGCGAGCGUUGUCCGGAAUUACUGGGCGUAAAGGGCACGCAGGCGGAUAUGUAUGUUUGUUGUGAAAUGUCAGGGCUCAACCCUGGAGUUGCGGCAGAAACUGCAUAUCUGGAGUACUGGAGAGGGAAGCGG
Molecule: ribosomal RNA, 627 nt
Filed under: uncultured bacterium
Lineage: Bacteria
Description: bacterial SSU rRNA
Rfam family: Bacterial small subunit ribosomal RNA
Source: RNAcentral